This 251-nucleotide ribosomal RNA is filed under the name uncultured prokaryote. Its description in RNAcentral is "partial 16S rRNA". It matches the Rfam family "Bacterial small subunit ribosomal RNA", at positions 525 to 775 of the family's 1533-position model. The record is from RNAcentral.
ACGGAGGGUGCAAGCGUUGUUCGGAAUUACUGGGCGUAAAGCGCGCGUAGGCGGUUUGGUAAGUCAGAUGUGAAAGACCCGAGCUCAACCUGAGAAGUGCAUUUGAAACUGCAAGACUUGAAUACGGGAGAGGGUAGUGGAAUUCCGGGUGUAGGGGUGAAAUCCGUAGAUAUCAGGAGGAACACCAGUGGCGAAGGCGGCUGCCUGGACCGAUAUUGACGCUGAGGCGCGAAAGCGUGGGUAGCAAACAG